UACGAAGGGGGCUAGCGUUGUUCGGAAUUACUGGGCGUAAAGCGCGUGUAGGCGGGUGUUUAAGUCAGGGGUGAAAUGCCAAGGCUCAACCUUGGAACUGCCUUUGAUACUGGAGAUCUUGAGUCCGGGAGAGGUGAGUGGAACUGCGAGUGUAGAGGUGAAAUUCGUAGAUAUUCGCAAGAACACCAGUGGCGAAGGCGGCUCACUGGCCCGGAACUGACGCUGAGACGCGAAAGCGUGGGGAGCAAACAGG
RNAcentral lists this ribosomal RNA (253 nucleotides) under uncultured bacterium. RNAcentral describes it as "partial 16S ribosomal RNA". It matches the Rfam family "Bacterial small subunit ribosomal RNA", at positions 524 to 776 of the family's 1533-position model. The record is from RNAcentral.